Molecule: ribosomal RNA, 1390 nt
Filed under: metagenome
Description: bacterial SSU rRNA
Rfam family: Archaeal small subunit ribosomal RNA
Source: RNAcentral
GUUGAUCCUGCUGGCGGCUGCGGCUCUCCGAUUUGCACUAAGACAUGCAAGUUUUUUGGUUUCUUUGGAAGUUGAAGGCGAACUGCUCAGUAACACGUAGCUAACCUACCCUUAGGUCGAGGAUACCCUCGGGAAACUGAGGUUAAUACUCGAUAGGGGAUAUACUCUGGAAGGACAUAUCCUUUAAAUUCGAGCCUAAGGAUGGGGCUGCGGCGGAUUAGGUUGUUGGCGGGGUAAAGGCCCACCAAGCCGAAGAUCCGUAAGGGCUUUUAGCGAAGGGGCCCUGAGAGGGAAUCUGAGACACUAUUCCCAGCCCCACGGGGUGCAGCAGUUAGGAAUAAUCUACAAUGCGCGCAAGCGUGAUAGUUUGAGUCGGAGUGCGUUCCAAUUUGGAAUGCUUUUGUGUACUGUAAAAAGGUACACGAAUAAGGACUGGGUAAGACGAGUGCCAGCCGCCGCGGUAAUACUCGCGGUCCAAGUCGCAGCCAUUUUUAUUGCGUCUAAAACAUCCGUAGCUUGUCUGGUAAGUUCCUUGUGAAAUUCUAUAUCUCAAAUAUAGAGCGAGCAGGGAAUACUGCCAGACUAGAGACUGGAAGACGGAACGAGUACGUUUAAAGUAGCGGUAAAAUGUGUUAAUCUUAAGCGGACUAACAAUAGCGAAGGCACGUUUCGAGGACAGUUCUGACAGUAAGGGAUGAAGGCUAGGGGCGCAAAACGGAUUAGAUACCCGUGUAGUCCUAGCAGUAAACACUGCACACUAAACAUCAGUACCUCUUCGAGAGGUAUUGGUGCUGAAGGGAAGCCGAAGAGUGUGCUACCUGGGAAGUAUAGUCGCAAGGCCGAAACUUAAAGGAAUUGGCGGGGAGACACUACAACGAGUGACGCGUGCGGUUCAAUCAGAUUCUACACCGUGAACCUCACCAGGAGCGACAGCAGAAUGAAGGUCAGUCUAAAGGGCUUACCUGACACGCUGAGAUGAGCUGCAUGGCCAACAUAAGCCUGUGCCGUGAGGUGACUUGUUAAAUCAAGUAACAGGCAAGACCCUCGUCUUUAUUUACCAAGUGUACAAUAAAGAGAUUGCCUUGGAAACGAGGAUGAAAGUGAGGGCUAUGUUAGGUGGUACAGCCAGAAUCCCCUGGGCAACACGCGCGCGUCAAUGGUGGAUACAGUGGGACGCGACACCGAAAGGUGAAGCUAAUCUCUUAAAGUCCAUCUUAGUUUAGAUUGAGGUUUGUAACUCAGCCUCAUGACACUGGAAUUCGUAGUAAUCGGAUGUUAUCAGCGUCCGGUGAAUAUGUCACGGUCUCUUGCACACACUGCCCGUCAAAUCAACCGAGUUUAGUUAGGAUGAAACCCUUCGGGGGAGAAUCUUAGCUAGACGAGGUAGGUU